AACGAACGCUGGCGGCAUGCCUAACACAUGCAAGUCGAACGAGACCUUCGGGUCUAGUGGCGCACGGGUGCGUAACGCGUGGGAACCUGCCCUUAGGUUCGGAAUAACUCCCCGAAAGGGGUGCUAAUACCGGAUAAUGUCUUCGGACCAAAGAUUUAUCGCCUUUGGAUGGGCCCGCGUUGGAUUAGCUAGUUGGUAGGGUAAAAGCCUACCAAGGCGACGAUCCAUAGCUGGUCUGAGAGGAUGAUCAGCCACACUGGGACUGAGACACGGCCCAGACCUCAUAGGGGAGGAGGGGGAGGGAAAUAUAGAAAAAGGGGGAAAGCGCUGACCAACAAAGGCCGGGGAAGAAAGGAGGGCUUUGGGGUAAAAAAGCUUUUUAACCCGGGAUGAAAAUAAAGGUACCGGAAGAAUAAGCCCCGGCAAACCCCGUG
RNAcentral lists this ribosomal RNA (434 nucleotides) under uncultured bacterium. RNAcentral's name for it is "partial 16S ribosomal RNA". It matches the Rfam family "Bacterial small subunit ribosomal RNA", at positions 29 to 507 of the family's 1533-position model. The record is from RNAcentral.